AUUGAACGCUGGCGGCAUGCCUUACACAUGCAAGUCGAACGGCAGCACGGGUGCUUGCACCUGAUGGCGAGUGGCGAACGGGUGAGUAAUGCAUAGGAACGUACCGUGUAAUGGGGGAUAACGUAGCGAAAGUUACGCUAAUACCGCAUACGACCUGAGGGUGAAAGCAGGGGAUCGCAAGACCUUGCGUUAUACGAGCGGCCGAUGUCAGAUUAGCUAGUUGGUAGGGUAAAGGCCUACCAAGGCGACGAUCUGUAGCGGGUCUGAGAGGAUGAUCCGCCACACUGGGACUGAGACACGGCCCAGACUCCUACGGGAGGCAGCAGUGGGGAAUUUUGGACAAUGGGGGCAACCCUGAUCCAGCCAUGCCGCGUGAGUGAAGAAGGCCUUCGGGUUGUAAAGCUCUUUCGGCCGGGAAGAAAUCGCACAGGCUAAUACUCUGUGUGGAUGACGGUACCGGCAUAAGAAGCACCGGCUAACUACGUGCCAGCAGCCGCAGUAA
This 502-nucleotide ribosomal RNA is filed under the name uncultured bacterium. RNAcentral's name for it is "partial 16S ribosomal RNA". It matches the Rfam family "Bacterial small subunit ribosomal RNA", at positions 30 to 523 of the family's 1533-position model. The record is from RNAcentral.